Molecule: ribosomal RNA, 475 nt
Filed under: Trithemis aconita
Lineage: Eukaryota; Metazoa; Arthropoda; Insecta; Odonata; Libellulidae
Description: partial 16S ribosomal RNA
Rfam family: Bacterial large subunit ribosomal RNA
Source: RNAcentral
CUGACCUGCCCAGUGAUGAAUUUAACGGCCGCGGUAUAUUGACCGUGCAAAGGUAGCAUAAUCAUUAGUCUUUUAAUAGAGGGCUGGAAUGAAAGGUUUAACGAGGAACUGACUGUCUCAUUUUAUUUGUUUUAAAAUUUAAUUUUUUAGUUAAAAAGCUAAAAUUUUAUUGGAAGACGAGAAGACCCUAUAGAUCUUUAUAAAAUUAUAUUUAAUUAUUAUGAUAUAAAUAUAAUUAUAAAUAUUUUUAUUUUGUUGGGGUGACAAGAAUAUAAAAUUAACUUUUUUAUUUACAUAACAUUGAUUUAUGAAUAUAUGAUCCAUUAUUAGUGAUUAUUAGACUAAGUUACCUUAGGGAUAACAGCGUAAUCCUCCUCCAGAGUUCAUAUUUACAGGAUGGGCUUGCGACCUCGAUGUUGGAUUAAGAUAAUAAUCAGGUGUAGCCGCUUGAUUUAUAGGUCUGUUCGACCUUUAA